Molecule: unclassified non-coding RNA, 397 nt
Filed under: uncultured Glomeromycotina
Lineage: Eukaryota; Fungi; Glomeromycota
Description: sequence contains 28S rRNA gene
Source: RNAcentral
AGAGUUAAACAGUACGUGAAAUUGUUGAAAGGGAAACGAUUGAAGUCAGUCGUACCGAUGAGCAUUCAGCCUUUUGGGUGCGAUUAUGUGGUACAUGAAAAGAUUUCGUGGAUCGCAUAUUUGUGCAUUUUGGGUGUACUUGCUCGUAUGGUAUGUUAACAUCAAUUUUGGUCGUCAUAAAAUGACGGGAGGAAUGUAGCUUCUCCGGAAGUGUUAUAGCCUCUGGUAGAUGUGAUGAUUGGGAUUGAGGAUUGCAACGAAUACCCUCUGGGCUACCUGCCUGAUCUCUGGUCGUCGCUUUGGUGCUGAAAGCGUGCUUAUGGUUUCAAAGUUAGGUGGCCAAAAGGUUAGAACGGGUUAAUUUCGUUAAGGAUGUUGACGUAAUGGCUUUAAACGA